GUGGGCUACAUCACAGGCUGGCUGGAGAACAACAAAGACCCCUGAGUGAAACAGUGGCGGGCUUGUUCCAGAAAUCGGCCCUGCGGAUCCUGGCCCUUCUCCUCAAAGAAGAGGAGGCUCCAGAGCCUGUCAUGGGGCUGCCUGCCCCCGUGCUGGUUACUGACAUGAAAGAAGCAAGAAACAGAAGAGAGGCUCCUCCUUCAUGACAAUCUCCAACUUCUACAGGGGAAGUUAAACAAGCUGAUGGCCACCCUUCACAGCACCACCCCCCGUUUGGUCUGCUGUAUUGUCCCCAAUGAGUUCAAGCAAUCAGGUACAUCAUGGGGACAUGUCUCCCUGCUGGAUGUCCUCGGGAUCCGUGGAGUUAGGGUUUGCUCCGAAUUAAACCCACUUUUAAUCAUCACGGAUGACUGGGGCAAAAUGGGGCAUUGAAAGAAUUCCCAACAAUGGAUCAUCCAAAAAUUGUAUUCUAGCUGUUUUAU
Molecule: non-coding RNA, 482 nt
Organism: Equus caballus (horse)
Lineage: Eukaryota; Metazoa; Chordata; Mammalia; Perissodactyla; Equidae
Source: RefSeq, a predicted model, not a curated record